AGAAACUUAGGAUAACCCGCUAAACCGAAG
This 30-nucleotide transfer RNA is filed under the name Ispidina picta (African pygmy-kingfisher). RNAcentral's name for it is "partial tRNA-Trp". The record is from RNAcentral. Lineage: Eukaryota; Metazoa; Chordata; Aves; Coraciiformes; Alcedinidae.